CCUACGGGUGUCAGCAGUGAGGAAUAUUGGUCAAUGGACGCAAGUCUGAACCAGCCAUGCCGCGUGCGGGAAGACUGCUCUAUGAGUUGUAAACUGCUUUUAUACGAGGGUAAACGCGUAUACGCGUAUCUGUCUGAAAGUACCGCACGAAUAAGGAUCGGCUAACUCCGUGCCAGCAGCCGCGGUAAUACGGAGGAUUCGAGCGUUAUCCGGAUUUAUUGGGUUUAAAGGGUGCGUAGGCGGGCGGAUAAGUUAGCGGUGAAAUUCUGAGGCUCAACUUCGGGAGUGCCUCUGAAACUGUUGGGCUAGAGAGUAGUUGAGGUAGGCGGAAUGUAUGGUGUAGCGGUGAAAUGCUUAGAGAUCACACAGAACACCGAUUGCGAAGGCAGCUUACC
RNAcentral lists this ribosomal RNA (395 nucleotides) under uncultured bacterium. Its description in RNAcentral is "partial 16S ribosomal RNA". It matches the Rfam family "Bacterial small subunit ribosomal RNA", at positions 338 to 730 of the family's 1533-position model. The record is from RNAcentral.